CGGGACUCAGUUGGUAGAGCAUCGCUUUUACACAGCGGAGGCCGCAGGUUCGAGCCCUGCACCGUCCA
Molecule: transfer RNA, 68 nt
Filed under: bacterium
Lineage: Bacteria
Description: tRNA-Val
Rfam family: tRNA
About the family: Transfer RNA (tRNA) molecules are approximately 80 nucleotides in length. Their secondary structure includes four short double-helical elements and three loops (D, anti-codon, and T loops). Further hydrogen bonds mediate the characteristic L-shaped molecular structure. tRNAs have two regions of fundamental functional importance: the anti-codon, which is responsible for specific mRNA codon recognition, and the 3' end, to which the tRNAs corresponding amino acid is attached (by aminoacyl-tRNA synthetases). tRNAs cope with the degeneracy of the genetic code in two manners: having more than one tRNA (with a specific anti-codon) for a particular amino acid; and 'wobble' base-pairing, i.e. permitting non-standard base-pairing at the 3rd anti-codon position.
Source: RNAcentral